RNAcentral lists this long non-coding RNA (7319 nucleotides) under Physcomitrium patens. RNAcentral describes it as "long non-coding RNA (PPAT_LNC013337)". The record is from RNAcentral. Lineage: Eukaryota; Viridiplantae; Streptophyta; Bryopsida; Funariales; Funariaceae.
AGGUCUCUAGACGUUACAGAGAACCCCGAACAACCCAAACUGUUAAUCUUCAAUACUGCUUUGUACUUACGAUCUUGUAUCCACUGACUGUCUUGUUAGAUUAACCCAAUAAAUUUCAUUCACUCAGCAUACUCAAUCCUAUAGACACCCUUUUAAUCCUUCAAUCACAGACGUAACUCGAUUUCACAAAACAGUCAAGAGUAUUCAAACCUACUUCAUUAAAAAUCCCGAUUCACCAUUACAAUACUGACUUCAGCAGCGAUUGCCUCAGUCUUCUCAAAACUCUACGAAGAAGAAAAAUCCAAAUUCUCUGUCUUUCCUUCCCCGACCCGAAGCAUGAACCUCCUCUCUCUUUAAUCCCUUUGAUCUCCAAAAACCUCCAAUGAAAACCGAACUAGUAACCUUGCAAAAGCUUGAAAACUAGCUCCUCCCGAUUCCCAGAGAAAAAUAAAAAUCCCCCUUCAAAACUAUAUCCCCCCUAACCUUAUCCUCUGAAUUUCUUCAAUCUUCCGUCUUAGAUCCAGAAUUGGCUCCCACCGUCAAGCUUGGAUCCAAAAUUGGCUCUCGCCGUCAGAGCUUUCUUCUCCAUUUUUACCUUUAAGAAAUCCAUUUACUGAAAACAACGUUCCCUGAAACGGCACAAAGAACAGGACAGCCCGAAACAGAAUUGAAACCCCGUAAUCGGGACCACAUUGAGUCGCCCGACCAAUUCAGGUCCCAUAUUGGGUAAGAUGCCCGUAAUAACCUGGAUGUUCCCGUAAUUGGAUCUGCAUUGGGUUGCCCGGCCAAUUCAGGUCUCAUAUUGGGUAAGAGGACCCGGAUUGGAUUCUCGAAAUUGGAUCCAAUUGGCUCUUCGAACCCGUCGUGUGAAUUAGUCCUUCUCUUCUUGCUGACUCCCGUUAUUGGAAUUGAAUGGAGCAUUUCAGUAUGCCCCAAAUGACUAUAACGGGGUGACUGAACCUGGCCACUCAAUAUUUGUACAUGAGUUGGUCGAUGCUCCCAAUAUUCGAGGUAACUGAAUAUUAAUAAAAUUCCCCUUUCUUUUUAUUUUCACUGUAUACUCGUGUUACAACACGACAUCCACUCCCUCUGAACCUGUGCAUCCUCCGAUAUGCACCAAUUUACCCAAUUGCUGUUUGAUUCAGAAUAUAUCCUCUACGUCUUUGUCCAGUUCGUCUUCGUCACCUUCAUUAUUCAAAUCACUUUCACCUUCUUGCUGCGGAAAUCUCUAUACCUUCAUUAAGGUCUUCCAUAUUCAUCUUUGCGUGUCUUCGUUUAAAUAUUUUUACUCGCUUCCCUGCAAUUGGUAUUUUCAAUUUUGUACCAUCUAACUCCCGUAAUGAGUAAGUCGCAUUACCAUGAACAGUUGUUACCACAUAUGGUCCAAACCAACGUUUUGAGAAUUUCUGCAAAGUACUAUGUUGAUUAUCCAGACUAUUGUCAUAAACAAGUACCCAGUCACCUUCCUCGAUUGCUUUUGGUCUCAAUCGAUGUUGCUUAUCGAAUCACGCCUUGUUUUGUAACCUUGCUCUUUUUAACCUUCCCAAUGCUAUCUGGACAUCUUCCGUUCUUUGCUCCAAUUGUCGAAUCCUAAUAGCCAGAAGUUCAUCUCUUGUCAAUCCAUCUUCCCAUGGUAGCAUACUCCAAGUAAGUACCUUUUCUUCAAUCAGCAUAAUUGGUUUUUGACCUGUCAUAAGUUCUACUCGCAUAUAUCCUGUCACCGAACUAUGUGUUGUUCGAUCAGCUCAUAAUGCAAAUGACAAUAGCCGUGGCCACUCUUUAACUUUCCCAUUACAAGCUUUAACCAAUGCUUUCACAAUCGGCGGGUGACCGCGUUCGCUUUUUGCAUUCCCUUCCGGAUUAUAAGCAGUAGUCAGUGAUAGUUUAACUCCACAUUUUUCAAAGAACUUACGAGCUUCUUGUGCAUUUAAUUCUCCACGAUCUGCAGUGAUUUUUCCUACGCAUUCGUAAUGGCAAAUGACAUCUUCAAGCAAAAACCUACAAAUCCCCUCUGUAGAUUUUGUCCUCAAUGCUCUUCCUUCUACUUGAUUUGAUAAAUCUUCACGAGCUAAAACCAAAUAUCUCAUCUGCCAUAACACAACCGCCAUAAUAACCAAAUCAACAACCCAUUUAAAAUGAAUAGCCAGAGGAUACGUAGGAUGAAGACCAUCUCGAUGUAAAAAUCCAUAUGCUUUUUUUCUUAUUUGUUUGAAUUUUUCUGUAGGCCAAUUCCCCUGCUUAGUCAAGGUAUUCAAAUAAUGACCAAUAUCCAAUAAUUCUCCUUCAUAAGAUUCUUCAAGAAAUAGCUUGUCUUCUCUGUUGAGAUUUGAUAUUGAAUAGAAUUUCAAUCCGACAUCAUCAAUGUCUUCAACCAUUUCGUCCUCCCUCUCGUAUCUUGGUCGAGAUAGCAUAUCUGCUACUAAAUUGUCCUUCCCAGUGAUAUGCUUAAAUUCUGGAUUUAGUGACUUAAUAUAAGCAAUCCAUUUCAACAUUGCAAUAUCUGGCGUUGAACAGUUAAUAAUCAUUCCAAGCAAUGGCAAGCAAUCUGUUUCAAUUACUACUACUGUCCCAAUCAAAUAGUCCUUUUCAGCUUUCAUAGCCGAAACGACUCCCCAAAGUUCUCUUUUGACUUACAAAUAUGCACGCUGAUGAAUACUUAAAACUUUAGCCCCAAAUUGAACUGCAAAUCUACUCCCAUAUGAAUCAUCUUGACCCACAGCCCAUCCAACGGCAAUUAGACUAGCGUCUACAGUAAGAAUCACUGGUCUAUUGCACUUAUAAUCAACCUUCCUCAAUAUUGGAGGUGACAUCAAUAAAUUCUUCAAUCUUUGCAUUGCUUGAAUAUGCCUUUCUUCCCAUUUAAAUCGGUAACCCUUGUCUAACAGUUCAUAUAAUGGAUCCGCUAUGUGAGCAAAAUAAGGGAUCCAGAUUCGAUAAAAUAUACAUGCACCUAAAAACCUGCGAACCUCUGUUAAAGAAUCACAAUCCUCCUUCAUUCUUCCAAUUGCAUCAACUUUAGUCGGAUCUGGUUUUCUUCCGUAAGAUCCACAUAAAUGUCCAACAAUUACAACCUCUCGUACUCCAAAUACGGACUUCAUACCCGAUAAUGUAAGAUGAACUUCUCCAAGCCGAGUUAAAAUCUUUUCACAAUCCUGUAUAUGAUCAACAAUAUAUCUGCGACACCCCCUCGUAUCUAAAGUCUCAUCCUUGUCUCCUUCUCUGCACCCUUUUAUAGGAACAUCAUCCAAAAAAGGCAUAGUCUUUUCCAGAAUAAAAUCUCUCAAUACCUUAUUCAUCCCAUUCAUCAUAUGCGCAAUUGAGUUGGUCGCGCCUUGAGGAAGAGUGCACAUUUUAACCAAUCCAAGUGGUGUCCUUAUUGUUGUCAUAUCUCUAAUUCCUUCGGCAAGUUGAAAUUGAUCAUAACCUGAAUACAAAUCACCCAUUGAAUAGAUCGCCCUUCUAGCAAAUGCCUCAGCAAAUUCAUCCACAAUAGGUCCAAUUCCUGCAUUCCUGACAGUUACUGCAUUCACCGGUUGCAUAUCUUGAAUAAAUCGUAGUGACCCAUUCUUCUUAGGUACCGUAAACCAUCGACUAGAAUACGACGCAAAUGAAGGUUCCAAUAUUUUCAUCUUUAUCUUUUCUUUCAAUAGUUCCACCAAUUUAGGUAAAUGUGCCCUCGGUACUGGAAUCGGUCUUAGAUUCCAAGGUAUAUGCGGUACAGUGAAGAUAACCAUAGGUGUUAUAAUAUUUGGAUCCACACACCCAAUUUCAUGAGAUUCGAAGGCAAACGAUCUACCUUGUUUAGCCAACAUCUUUUUGAAGCAAGUAAUUUCCUCUGACAAUAAAGAACCAUCAGAACCAAUCUUCAAUUCUUCAAAAGUCUCUUCAGUAAACUGAUGUCCAAUACUCAUUGGAUCUCUUAAACUUGCUUCUUUUGAUGCUUCUCCCAUUUGUUCUUUAGAAUCCUCUGGUAAUGGUCUGGCAACAGGCUUUACCUUCUUAUCUGCUGUUUUAUAUCUCGUCUCUACUGUGACUUCUGGUGCUUGAAAAGAUUCAAGCAUGGUAUAAACCUCUCUCGAAUGAAUCUCAACAAUCUUAUCAUUAUCCCCUAACCCAAUAGAUGUAAUCAAUUCCAAUGAAUCUUCUAGUCCAUUUUCUUCAUAAACAUCCAAAAUCCUCUCAUCAUCUUGCAAUGUACAUAUCUUGCGUAAUUGUCCUUCAAUAUUAUAUAAUCUUUUUCUUUCUUUUCUUUUAAAAUCAUCAACUUUCUUAUACAUAAUAUUUCCAUUCUCCAAUAUACCAAUAAAACUCGAAUCAAAGGCACCUUCAUCUCGCGAGAGUACCUCCUCUUUUGUACCUCCAUAAUCUCGCUUUACAGUGGUACCUCCCCAAAAUCCUUAAAUCCUUCAACAAUCUUUGGCAAUGGUUUCUCCCUCAACCUAUCCCGAUUCCGUUCAUGGUUAGGAGGUACUGUUAGAAAUUGUACAGCUUUCCUCCCAUCUUUGCUCCGUAUCCUUGCAUAAGCAGAACCAUCGUCAAGUACUUUUGUUUCCAUCCAUGUUGCCGUGAUAUAAGGUUGUCCUAAAAUCAAUGGAUAAGACAUUGUAUCUUGAACGAAGAAAUGUUGCUCCGUCGCAACAUCUCCAAUCCAAAUUUUGACAUCUGGACAAGCUCCAUAUAAUUCGCCCCGUGUGUUAUUAGCUGCUCGUAUUGCCCAUCCAUGUUCCAUAUCAAUUGGCCAUUUUUGCUUCUUAUAAAGAUCUUUAGACAUGAGAUUUAUUUCAGAACCAUGGUCGACCAAAGCAACUAUUGGUUCUUCUAUAUCUCCUACCUUCACCAAUACCUCAGUAGUUGCCCUCGCCCAAUGCUUUCGAGUAUAAUGGCUCAAAGUUUCCAUUUCCUUGUCAUUAGAAUCUUCGAAACAUACUCGCUGAUUAUACCCAUUCUUUUCAUUUGUUGGUUGCUUGUAACCAAUAUCAACCUCUUCUUCAUCUCUACAUAUUCUUGCAUCAAUAGCAUGACUCAUUCCAGUUUCGCCCAUUAAUUGCCUCUUUCGCUUAAUGCUGUCAAUGAUAACAUCAUGAAACUCCUUCUUUGCAAUUUCCAAGACUUCUUUUAAUGUGAAUUCCACCUUAGCGUUUAAUAUACGUUCUUCCAACACCCCUUUCAAAUUUGUUGCCGCUUCAAUGUCAGAAAGUAGCUUAUAAGCAAUUGAUUUGCCCUUAUCUUUUGUCUCCGUUGUUUUUUCUCCCAAUGAUGCUAAGGUAUCCUUUACAGGCAAUUCUUGUGAAGCUGCCUCCCGAGCCUUGUCUCCUCGAGUUUGCCUCUUAAAAGAAUUUCCUUCUCUAGUAUCAUCAAAAUUUCCUCGUCUUUUUUCUUCCAUCAAAGCUUCAUGUUGGCUCUUAGCAAUAUAUGUAUGAACUGAAAGAGACUCAACAAGAUCCUCCCAACCUGUUCUACCUCAUAUUGUAGCUGCAGUUCUCAAUAACGCUUCUUGAGGUAAUUUCCCUUCUUGCAUUGUAGAAACGGCAGAAGCCCAAAACUCACUAGUUUUCGUACUUCCACCAAUUUCAUCAUCUACUCUAGCACCAUAACUUGCACUUUCUCGUGCUACUGUUUCAUGCUCUUUUAAGUAAUCUUGAACCAAUGCUCUCAUUCCUCCCUUGCCAAAAUUGGUUUGAAGAAGAUCCUCUCUAUUUUUCAAUGCUAUCUUCCCAUCUUUCCAGUAAAUAAUUCCCUGCCAUAUCAUAUUAUUAAAUUCAUUGCAAUCUUUUCUAGUGUGUGAAGCAUCAUCACACCAAAUGCACCUUUGUACAUAUCCUUGUUUUGAAACAUUCUUUGAAUUAUUUAUAGAAGUAUUUUCUUCAAGUCUUGCUAAUUUGAUUUGAAGAUCUCGCAUUCUUUGUAUAAUUUGUUCCAUCCCCAUAUCUGCUUUCUUUGAUAAAGAUGUCGAAGGUUGAACUGUAGGCAUUGUUGGUGGUGUUGUACGUACUGGAGCUUUGGGUGCUUGUACUGUUUUCGGAAUAUUGCUCCUAUCCUUCCUCCUUUCUUUUUUUGUAAGCAACCCCACCGCAUCUUCAACGUUCUUCCACUUCGUUGUCAAUCCUUCAUCUUCUUCUUUGUCUUCAAGAAGGGAUUCUAAUUUCUCUUGCAAUUCUCCAUCAGCAGCUUGAAGAAAUAGAUCAACUUUGUUCGGCUCCAAUGUCAAUUUUUCUACCUUCGAUAGUUGAGAGUACUGCCUCUCAAAUUCCCUUAGUAGCUCUGUUGCUUGCAAAUUCUUAUUGGGCCGUUCAAUCCAUCCCAGAAACAGCUUCUUAGUAACGCAAUCAGUAUCUUCCAAGAAAUAUUCGUCUUUGAAUGCAUGUGAAAAAUCCUCCCAUGAAUUCCCAUAACGAUCUGUAAUCGAUGUAAUGUGGUCCCUUAUCUCCGGUAUCGUGGCAAGUCCAAAUAGUGCAACCAUUUUCUUCUCAGAAACCCGAUUUAAUUCCAUUUUACGAACAUAACAUCUUAAAUACCUUGAAAUAUUCCUCCCAUCAAAUUGAUCAAUUUUAUUGACCACUGCUUGCAAUGCUUUAGUUGCCAAAGCUUCCUUUCGAUCAUUGCUUUGCUGUUGCUGCAUUGACAAUGAGAAGGCUUGAAACAAACUAGCAAUAGACGGAUCCAUAUGCAUACCUUGUCCUUUAGAAGACUCCCCACCAAAAACUCCUCCCAAAAAUCCUUCAAAAUUUUUAUUUUCGUUUUCCAUAAAAAUAAAGAUAAAAUCAACCGAAAUCUAAUACCUUCCACCUCAAGCUUUCACGUCGAGUUCACCACUUUUGUCGUAUUACGUGCUUUCCUGCUCAAGAACGUGCCGGGCGUCUAGCUAUAGAAGGUAGUAUGGAGAUUCGCCGAUAGUCAAGCAGUCUAUCAGUUUUGACUGCUGGAAUAUAAACGACUGCAACAAUGUACCGUAAAUCUAUACGGAUGCUCUUCGACUGCCUGUCGAAGUCCUUUUUGCCCCAGUCGGUAGGUCUCUAGACGUUACAGAGAACCCCGAACAACCCAAACUGUUAAUCUUCAAUACUGCUUUGUACUUACGAUCUUGUAUCCACUGACUGUCUUAUUAGAUUAACCCAAUAAAUUUCAUUCACUCCGCAUACUCAAUCCUAUAGACACCCUUUUAAUCCUUCAAUCACAGACGUAACUCGAUUUCACAAAACAGUCAAGAGUAUUCAAACCUACUUCAUUAAAAAUCCCGAUUCACCAUUACAAUACUGACUUCAGCAGCGAUUGCCUCAGUCUUCUCAAAACUCUACGAAGAAGAAAAAUCCAAAUUCUCU